This 757-nucleotide ribosomal RNA is filed under the name uncultured bacterium. RNAcentral's name for it is "bacterial SSU rRNA". It matches the Rfam family "Bacterial small subunit ribosomal RNA", at positions 73 to 817 of the family's 1533-position model. The record is from RNAcentral.
AAUUGAGUAAUCGAUCGUAUAGUUAGUGGCGAAAGGGUUAGUAAUGGAUAGGUAACGUACCCUGUGCUUCGGAAUAGCGUCUCCCGACUUGUCGGGAUACCGAAAGGGUCGGUAAUACCGAAUAAUAUCAGUUGUCGAUGGGCAACUGGUCAAAGAUUUAUCGGCAUUGGAGCGGCCUAUCUCCAAUCAGCUUGUUGGUGAGGUAACGGCUCACCAAGGCAGCGACGGGUAGCGGGACUGAGAGGUUGACCCGCAACAUCGGGACUGAGACACUGCCCGGACCUCCACGGAGGGCUGCAGUAACGAAUAUUGCGCAAUGGGCGAAAGCCUGACGCAGCGACGCCGCGUGCGGGAGGAAGUCCCUCGGGAUGUAAACCGCUGUCAGGGGUAAGAAGGUUCGCUUCGGCGGAUUGAUCUAACCCAAAGGAAGUCACGGCUAACUUCGUGCCAGCAGCCGCGGUAAGACGAAGGUGGCAAGCGUUGUUCGGUGUUACUGGGCUUAAAGGGUGUGUAGGCGGAAAGGUAAGCGUCUUGUGAAAGCCCCCGGCUUAACCGGGGAAUUGCUUGGCGAACUGCCUUUCUUGAGGCAGGCAGGGGCGCAUGGAACUCUUGGUGGAGCGGUGGAAUGCGUAGAUAUCAAGAGGAACGCCGAUGGAGAAAUCAGUGCGCUGGGCCUGUCCUGACGCUGAUACACGAAAGCGUGGGGAGCGAACGGGAUUAGAUACCCCGGUAGUCCACGCCGUAAACGAUGUCUACU